GCCAGCAUGGCAUAGUGGUUUGAGUGUUGGAUUAUGACUCUAGAAAUCAGGGUUCGAUUCCCAGCUCAGCCA
RNAcentral lists this transfer RNA (72 nucleotides) under Phrynosoma platyrhinos (Desert horned lizard). RNAcentral describes it as "tRNA-OTHER". Lineage: Eukaryota; Metazoa; Chordata; Lepidosauria; Squamata; Phrynosomatidae. The record is from RNAcentral.